This 497-nucleotide ribosomal RNA is filed under the name uncultured bacterium. Its description in RNAcentral is "SSU rRNA". It matches the Rfam family "Bacterial small subunit ribosomal RNA", at positions 26 to 521 of the family's 1533-position model. The record is from RNAcentral.
AGAUUGAACGCUGGCGGCGUGCCUAACACAUGCAAGUCGAGCGGCAGCGCGGGAGCAAUCCUGGCGGCGAGCGGCGGACGGGUGAGUAACGCUUGGGAAUCUGCCGAUUAGUGGGGGACAACCCGGGGAAACUCGGGCUAAUACCGCAUACGCACCAUGGUGGAAAGCCGGGGACCGCAAGGCCUGGCGCUAAUUGAUGAGCCCAAGUCGGAUUAGCUAGUUGGUAGGGUAACGGCCUACCAAGGCGACAAUCCGUAGCUGGUCUGAGAGGACGACCAGCCACACCGGAACUGAGACACGGUCCGGACUCCUACGGGAGGCAGCAGUGGGGAAUAUUGGACAAUGGGGGAAACCCUGAUCCAGCGACGCCGCGUGGGUGAAGAAGGCCUGCGGGUUGUAAAGCCUUUCAGUGGGAAGAAAGCCUCGACCUAACACGUCGGGGUCUUGACGUAACUCACAAAAGAAGCACCGGCUAACUCUGCGCCAGCAGCCGCGGU